CUCCAGUUGUUAUUGGCAUAU
Molecule: non-coding RNA, 21 nt
Organism: Caenorhabditis elegans
Lineage: Eukaryota; Metazoa; Nematoda; Chromadorea; Rhabditida; Rhabditidae
Source: Ensembl